AUUGAACGCUGGCGGCAGGCCUAACACAUGCAAGUCGAGCGGAUGAAGGGAGCUUGCUCCUGUAUUCAGCGGCGGACGGGUGAGUAAUGCCUAGGAAUCUGCCUGGUAGUGGGGGAUAACGUCCGGAAACGGGCGCUAAUACCGCAUACGUCCUUAGGGAGAAAGUGGUGGAUCUUCGGACCUCACGCUAUCAGAUGAGCCUAGGUCGGAUUAGCUAGUUGGUUGGGUAAAGGCCUACCAAGGCGACGAUCCGUAACUGGUCUGAGAGGAUGAUCAGUCACACUGGAACUGAGACACGGUCCAGACUCCUACGGGAGGCAGCAGUGGGGAAUAUUGGACAAUGGGCGAAAGCCUGAUCCAGCCAUGCCGCGUGUGUGAAGAAGGUCUUCGGAUUGUAAAGCACUUUAAGUUGGGAGGAAGGGAAGUAAGUGAAUACCUUGCUGUUUUGACGCUACCAACAGAAUAAGCACCGGCUAACUUCGUG
RNAcentral lists this ribosomal RNA (484 nucleotides) under uncultured bacterium. RNAcentral's name for it is "partial 16S ribosomal RNA". It matches the Rfam family "Bacterial small subunit ribosomal RNA", at positions 30 to 507 of the family's 1533-position model. The record is from RNAcentral.